RNAcentral lists this ribosomal RNA (394 nucleotides) under uncultured bacterium. Its description in RNAcentral is "bacterial SSU rRNA". It matches the Rfam family "Bacterial small subunit ribosomal RNA", at positions 29 to 403 of the family's 1533-position model. The record is from RNAcentral.
AACGAACGCUGGCGGCGUGGAUUAGGCAUGCAAGUCGAACGCGAAAGAGGGGGUAACUCCUCGAGUAGAGUGGCGAACGGGUGAGUAACACGUGAGAAACCUGCCUUCAGCAGGGGGAUAACACUCCCAACGGGGUGCUAAUACCGCAUGAGACCACGGAUUCGCAUGGAUCUGGGGUCAAAGGUGGCCUCUGCUUGCAAGCUACCGGCUGAAGAUGGUCUCGCGUCCCAUUAGCUAGUUGGUGGGGUAAUGGCCUACCAAGGCGACGAUGGGUAGCUGGUCUGAGAGGACGACCAGCCACACUGGGACUGGAGACACGGCCCAGACUCCUACGGGAGGCAGCAGUGGGGAAUAUUGGACAAUGGGNGCAAGCCUGAUCCAGCGAUGCCGCGUG